This 254-nucleotide ribosomal RNA is filed under the name uncultured bacterium. RNAcentral describes it as "partial 16S ribosomal RNA". It matches the Rfam family "Bacterial small subunit ribosomal RNA", at positions 524 to 776 of the family's 1533-position model. The record is from RNAcentral.
UACGGAGGGGGCUAGCGUUGUUCGGAAUUACUGGGCGUAAAGCGCACGUAGGCGGCUUUGUAAGUUAGAGGUGAAAGUCCAGGGCUUAACCCUGAAAUUGCCUUUAAGACUGCAUCGCUAGAAUCGUGGAGAGGUGAGUGGAAUUCCGAGUGUAGAGGUGAAAUUCGUAGAUAUUCGGAAGAACACCAGUGGCGAAGGCGACUCACUGGACACGUAUUGACGCUGAGGUGCGAAAGCGUGGGGAGCAAAACAGG